RNAcentral lists this ribosomal RNA (253 nucleotides) under uncultured bacterium. RNAcentral's name for it is "partial 16S ribosomal RNA". It matches the Rfam family "Bacterial small subunit ribosomal RNA", at positions 524 to 776 of the family's 1533-position model. The record is from RNAcentral.
UACAGAGGGUGCAAGCGUUAAUCGGAUUUACUGGGCGUAAAGCGUGCGUAGGCGGUUCAUUAAGUCGGUUGUGAAAUCCCUGGGCUUAACCUGGGAACUGCAGUCGAUACUGGUGGACUAGAAUGCGGUAGAGGGUGGCGGAACUCCGGGUGUAGCGGUGAAAUGCGCAGAUAUCAGGAGGAACACCGGUGGCGAAGGCGGGUCUCUGGGCCGAUACUGACGCUGAGGAGCGAAAGCGUGGGGAGCGAACAGG